RNAcentral lists this ribosomal RNA (878 nucleotides) under uncultured bacterium. Its description in RNAcentral is "bacterial SSU rRNA". It matches the Rfam family "Bacterial small subunit ribosomal RNA", at positions 648 to 1528 of the family's 1533-position model. The record is from RNAcentral.
CGGGUAGAGGCUGACGGAACUAUCGGUGGAGCGGUGGAAUGCGUUGAGAUCGAUGGGAACGCCAAAGGCGAAGGCAGUCAGCUGGGCCCGUCCUGACGCUCAGGCACGAAAGCGUGGGGAGCAAACAGGAUUAGAUACCCUGGUAGUCCACGCCCUAAACGAUGUGCACUAGGUCGAUGCGUCUCUGACGGCGUGUUGGCCGAAGAGAAAUUGAUAAGUGCACCGCCUGGGGAGUACGGUCGCAAGGCUAAAACUCAAAGGAAUUGACGGGGGCUCACACAAGCGGUGGAGCAUGUUGCUUAAUUCGAAGCAACGCGAAGAACCUUACCUGGUCUUGACAUGCUUGGAUUAGUCCGGUGAAAGUCGGAUGACGCCCUUUGGGUGGAACUUGCACAGGUGCUGCAUGGCUGUCGUCAGCUCGUGCUGUGAAGUGUCGGGUUAAGUCCCUUAACGAGCGCAACCCUUGCCGCUAGUUGCCAGCACGUAAUGGUGGGGACUCUAGCGGGACUGCCGGUGUUAAACCGGAGGAAGGUGGGGAUGACGUCAAGUCCUCAUGGCCCUUACGACCAGGGUUGCAAACGUGCUACAAUGGCGUGUACAGAGCGACGCGAGGCCGCGAGGCGGAGCAAAUCGCAAAAAACACGCCCCAGUUCGGAUUGCAGGCUGCAACUCGCCUGCAUGAAGCCGGAAUCGCUAGUAAUCGGAGAUCAGCUACGCUCCGGUGAAUACGUUCCUGAGCCUUGUACACACCGCCCGUCAAGUCAUGGGAGCUGGGAGCGCCCGAAGUCAUGGGGUUUCACUCAUGCCCACGGCGAGCUCGGUGACUGGGACUAAGUCGUAACAAGGUAGCCGUAGGAGAACCUGCGGCUGGAUCACCU